ACACAGGAAGGUUUGGUUGGGCGGUUGGGAGAGUUUGAGAUUGUCUGUGUGGUUGGUGUAUGACUCCGUCAUGUUCACUAAUCAUUUUGUUAAUAGUUUCAUGAUGUCUAUUGUAAUUUUCAUCGAUCAACUUGUUUAAAAGAUCUUCGAACCCCGAAUGUUUUUUUUGGACAUUAUAGUCUAAUACUACAAUUUUUUAUCACUAUGUGAAUGUUCCAACCCUACACAAAUCUUCGUGACACAGAAGAUUUGACCCAUCAUACCACGCAACUCUUGUCCAUUUUCACACUUUUUUGAAGAUGCAAGCCGAAGUUUGUAGAUGU
This 323-nucleotide long non-coding RNA is filed under the name Brassica napus (rape). Its description in RNAcentral is "long non-coding RNA (BNAP_LNC001858)". Lineage: Eukaryota; Viridiplantae; Streptophyta; Magnoliopsida; Brassicales; Brassicaceae. The record is from RNAcentral.